This 974-nucleotide long non-coding RNA is filed under the name Linum usitatissimum (flax). Its description in RNAcentral is "long non-coding RNA (LUSI_LNC002262)". The record is from RNAcentral. Lineage: Eukaryota; Viridiplantae; Streptophyta; Magnoliopsida; Malpighiales; Linaceae.
UUCAAAUACUUGGCCUGGCUUAUUCUUCAUAACUCAGAAGGCUAUCCUCACAUUGGUAUGAUUGGAUUCCCUGAAGAAAAGAGGAUGGCUAUGCACUAACUGGUGUUGUUUGUGCAAAGAAUACGAGAAGACUCGUGGCCAGGCCCACAUUUUGCUCCAUGCACUUCUUUGGUUCCGUCGUUAUUCACAAGAAGAUUCAAUCAACAUCUAGCACCAUAUCUCGAAAUCCAGUUGAUCUAUGGCACACGUGGAUGAUUUAGUCAAAGGCUUCAAGUUUGCCAGUUUCCUUAAUCGCAUCGGCAAUUUUCCGGGCUACUUUGUCGGAUAGAAACAAUAGAAGUUUAGGACUCUUCUUGGGUUAGGAUCUUGGUCUGUGUUUGCCAUCGAGUUGCUACUUGGGUGCACUGCAAAGACAAAAGCCAAUUCAGCUUCAGAGGACGUGGAUUUGAGGAAGUUGCAGGUCCGAUUGAGGAUUGACUUCUAUAGAAGUUCGUUUAUUUGUGUGUUUCCACUGUUUUCUUUGGUCUUUGAGACUGGGGAUCCCUCACACUGUGCUCAGCUUCAACUACGAAUCCCUUGGAUGGGGGUAGUUGAGUGUUGACCACAACGAAAUCGGUGAAGGGGAUUUUUGGCGAAGACAGCAUGUACUCUGUUUUCUGCUCACCCUCCGGUUGUGUUGGGUGUACGUCUUGUACAUUGGGUUUUCAUUUCAAUGAAAUCAUUUACCAGUUAAUAAACAAAGUCAGCCUGUACAUUAAACCAAUUAAUCAUAUUGGGUUCUGCAGUUUUUCCUUUAAAAGCAAGGAAACAACAAAUUCUGGAAAGCUUUGCCUCCAUUUGUCAAUGUGUGUACCUCAGUUAGACUGAUCAUGGCAAAGCAAGCAACUUUUUUUUGGUUGUUCUUAAUUUUUUUGCAGGAUUCUGCUGCGAAGCUCGACCUAUCUACCAGAUCCCACCAGACAACUUAAACUGAC